Molecule: ribosomal RNA, 353 nt
Filed under: uncultured bacterium
Lineage: Bacteria
Description: bacterial SSU rRNA
Rfam family: Bacterial small subunit ribosomal RNA
Source: RNAcentral
GAUGAACGCUGGCGGCGUGCUUAACACAUGCAAGUCGAACGAAGCACUUAAUGAGAUUUCUUCGGAUUGAUUAUUUGUGACUGAGUGGCGGACGGGUGAGUAACGCGUGGGUAACCUGCCCCAGACCGGGGAUAACAGUCGGAAACGACUGCUAAUACCGCAUAAGCGCACAGUGCCGCAUGGCACGGUGUGAAAAACUCCGGUGGUGUGAGAUGGACCCGCGUCUGAUUAGCUAGUUGGCAGGGCAACGGCCUACCAAGGCGACGAUCAGUAGCCGGCCUGAGAGGGUGACCGGGCCACAUUGGGACUGAGACACGGCCCAAACUCCCUACGGGAGGCCAGCAGUGGGAAUA